AAGUCGAACGCUGAAGCUCAGCUUUUGUUGGGUGGAUGAGUGGCGAACGGGUGAGUAACACGUGAGUAACCUGCCCUCUUCUUUGGGAUAACGCCCGGAAACGGGUGCUAAUACUGGAUAUUCACUGAUCUUCGCAUGGGGGUUGGUGGAAAGGUUUGUUCUGGUGGGGGAUGGGCUCGCGGCCUAUCAGCUUGUUGGUGGGGUGAUGGCCUACCAAGGCUUUGACGGGUAGCCGGCCUGAGAGGGUGACCGGUCACAUUGGGACUGAGAUACGGCCCAGACUCCUACGGGAGGCAGCAGUGGGGAAUAUUGCACAAUGGGCGCAAGCCUGAUGCAGCGACGCCGCGUGAGGGAUGGAGGCCUUCAGGUUGUAAACCUCUUUCGCUCAUGGUCAAGCCGCGACGUGGGUUGUGGUGAGGGUAGUGGGUAAAGAAGCGCCGGCUAACUACGUGCCAGCAGCCGCGGUAAUACGUAGGGCGCGAGCGUUGUCCGGAAUUAUUGGGCGUAAAGGGCUUGUAGGCGGUUGGUCGCGUCUGCCGUGAAAUUCUCUGGCUUAACUGGGGGCGUGCGGUGGGUACGGGCUGACUUGAGUGCGGUAGGGGAGACUGGAACUCCUGGUGUAGCGGUGGAAUGCGCAGAUAUCAGGAAGAACACCGGUGGCGAAGGCGGGUCUCUGGGCCGUUACUGAC
RNAcentral lists this ribosomal RNA (689 nucleotides) under uncultured Actinomycetes bacterium. RNAcentral's name for it is "bacterial SSU rRNA". It matches the Rfam family "Bacterial small subunit ribosomal RNA", at positions 59 to 744 of the family's 1533-position model. Lineage: Bacteria; Bacillati; Actinomycetota; Actinomycetes. The record is from RNAcentral.